This 255-nucleotide ribosomal RNA is filed under the name uncultured bacterium. RNAcentral's name for it is "partial small subunit ribosomal RNA". It matches the Rfam family "Bacterial small subunit ribosomal RNA", at positions 26 to 286 of the family's 1533-position model. The record is from RNAcentral.
AGGACGAACGCUGGCGGCGUGCUUAACACAUGCAAGUCGAGCGGAAAGGCCCUUCGGGGUACUCGAGCGGCGAACGGGUGAGUAACACGUGAGUAACCUGCCCCUAGCUUCGGGAUAGCUCCGGGAAACCGGGAUUAAUACCAGAUACGACCACUUUAGACAUCUGUCGUGGUGGAAAGGAUUCCGGCUAGGGAUGGGCUCGCGGCCUAUCAGCUUGUUGGUGGGGUAACGGCCUACCAAGGCGACGACGGGUAG